Molecule: long non-coding RNA, 4348 nt
Organism: Rhipicephalus sanguineus (brown dog tick)
Lineage: Eukaryota; Metazoa; Arthropoda; Arachnida; Ixodida; Ixodidae
Exons: 3
Source: RefSeq, a predicted model, not a curated record
AAUGCACCGCGCCACGGCGCUCUCUGGGGCUAUGCAUUUUGGCCAGCCUAAUUGUGUCGGGCGGCGGCGAGUCCCCGUGUUUUCGUAUCAGCGGAAACAUAGCGACCGCGGCCGCGGCUGUGCCAGCUGUGCUGCUGGUGCUACUGCGCGACGACGCGAGUCCCGCAACCAUAGCAAACGCCUUACGAUGAAUCGGAUACUCGUGAAGACACAGCAAGGGCUUCACGAGACGCUGUGCGCACACUUCUCGCUGCCGAAAGCCGUCUCGUUCAGGACGCAUUGAAGCGGACACAGCCUGCAGCGAAGAACAACGUGACGGACAUUGCUCUACUCCACUUGGGGCGCCUGCGCAAGCAGGCGUUCGGUGAAUGGCGUCACUACGGACCCGAGCCAACAGGGGGGUUUCGACUCCCCCCCCCCCCCCACGCCUCGCCAUGCUUGGCUUUGCUGUGUCCGAGGAAAAGGGGAUCCUGGGGGUUGAGCCGACGCCGGGUGAUUGGACCUGUAAGGCCCCCCGGCAGAGGCAACACACCCCUUUGGCCCCAGCUUCACGUAGACGGCACCCCUGGGCUGACCCACCCAGAGGAAAUCGGCAGUAGUCUUUUGCUAUCUCUCUCUCUCUCCACAUUUUCGUCUUUCUCUCUCACUUUUCAUCUUUCCUGUCCUCUUAUCUCUUCAAUUUACUUCCGUGUUUCACGGCGGCAAGGGUUAACCUGGUGUGAAUAUCCAACCAUGAGUAGUUAGAUGAGGUUAUAGUAACAGCGUACGGCUGGCAUCAUGCAGGCUUGUUGACAAGUCCAGCCGUGUCCCCUUGUUGGGCUCCAUGGUGGGCGGUUGGCGCUGUUGCCGAACGCUUUCAUCUUUUUAUGGCUUCUCAAGCAUCCACUAUUUUUGAUCAGUCUCUGAAAAGAGGCCACACCGAGGCAACUUUUCAUUUCAACACACAAUCCAAAGUAUCCUUCCAAAAGUACCAUGUCAUCCACAGCGAAGGCACACCAGUACGAAAGCUAUCUCCAUUUUUGGUGGCCAAGUGCCUGAAAGAAAGAAAUUGGACCCAAGUACAAAAUUUCGAAAAUGUCAAGCGGUCACCUGCUCCUAGAGCUAGCCGAAAAAGAACAAGUAUCAAAGCUCUCCGAACUCGCCUGCAUUGGUGACACUACCGUAACAAUUUCUGUCCACAGAUCCCUUAACACCAGCAGGGGAGGAAUAUCUGAAGAAGAUUUCUUAGGCCUAAGUGACAAGGAGCUCCUCGAGGGGUUUCAGGAUCAAGACGUCAUAAAGGUACAGAGAAUUGUCAUCCGCCGCAACGAUCAGGAAGUCCCCACAAAACACGUCGUACUUUCCUUUGGAACGAGCGAAAUGCCCACAUCCCUCGAGGCAGGCUACGUGAAAAUAAACAUCAGGCCCUAUAUUCCUAAUUCUAGACGGUGUUUUAAAUGCCAAAGAUUCGGUCACGUAUCCCACUCAUGCAGGGGAAAAGAAACAUGCGCAAAAUGCAGUGAAAACGACUACACAGCCGUAAACUGCGCAUCAUUGCCACUUUGUGUGAACUGUAAGGGGGAUCACCCAGCAUACUCCCGCUCAUGCCCAUCCUGGAAAAAAGAAAAAGAAGUAAUUGCUCUCACCGUCAAAAAAAGAUCUCGUUUUAUGAAGCGCGGAAACGGUUGUCGUACCUUUUCCGCAAAAGUUACACUGAUGUGACGCAGUCGGGGGCAGCGUCACAGAGGCCUCAGACAUCCUCUGGGUCCACACAGAGUGGUCGAGUUGUGACUCCUUCCGCUCCCGUCAUGGAAGCAGCGUCUGCUGCUCCAUCGACCUCUAAGGGCCCUCAGACUCCGGUCUCCCUGGGCCCUAAAAUCACUCGAAUGCCAAGGCCCGAGAUCCACGUCUCAGCGCCAAACUCUCGAUCUUCCAGCGCCUCUGACAGGGCGAUGGAGAUCGACUGAAAACCUUAGUGUCAUCGACACCGAAGGACAUGCGCUCCCUGGAGCGCGCCAACUGGACAAGGUCCCAAUAACCACGCAAAGCAAGCGAUAGUCAUAAUGAUUAUCGCAUUUGUCUGUAGUUUAAGUUCUUAAUAAUGCUAAUAAUGUGUGUAUAUGUGGUUUGUAUGUGUGUGUCAGGUAGCGCAGUUAUCCCUUUUGUCUUAAUAAUAUCACCUACCAUCUUUUAAUUUACUUGAACAAUCCCCACAGGUAUAUUUGCUUAAUUUUAUUCCAUCAUGGCUUUUAUCAUACAUUGGAACUGUAGAGGAUUAAUGCAUAAUUUAGCUGACUCAAAGGACAUCAUCAAUAAGUUCUCACCAGUGGCUUUCUGCCUCCAAGAGACAAACCUAGGUGCAAAACAUGCUCAAUUUCUCAAGGGCUAUACAGUUGCCCGAAAGGAGCGCGAACGCUGUCAGGAGGAGUAGCUAUUGCUUUCCAGGGUGGCACUCCUACCCGAGAUGUCCAACUCAGUACAUCUUUCGAGGCCAUAGCAGCCACCAUUUUAUCGUACAAAACUAUUACCAUUUGUACACUUUAUAUCCCACCCCACACCCAUUUUACCACUAAAAACCUAGAAAAUCUAGUAGAACAGUUACCAAAGCCAUUUGUUUUAGUAGGGGAUUUUAAUGCUCAUUUUACUCUUUGGGGUAGUGACAAAGCUGAUCAAAGAGGGCAGGUCGUUGAAGAUUUUGUCUUGUCAAACGAUAUCUGCCUUUAAAACACAGGUGCUUUGACCUACUUUUCAGCAACCUCACGCACUUUUAGUUGUUUAGAUCUUGCUUUGUGCUCACCAUGUCUUUUUAACGAUCUUAAAUGGGAGGUCCUCGACACGUCAUAUGGUAGUGAUCACCAACCUGCCAUCAUCAAACUCAUGUCAUCCCACCAAACUUUAUCUAGCAAGCCACGCUGGUGGAAAUUGAAGCUCGCGAACUGGCCGCUUUUUACAGAAAAUGCAAAGCUUGAAGAAGUUUUCUCAUCGGAACUUUCUGUUCAGGAAGUUAACAAAAAGUUCAUCGAAAUUAUGAUUUCAGUGGCAGAAAAGGCGAUACCGCAGUCAUCCGGCAUUGUGCGCAUUAAACUAAAUCCUUGGUGGACAAGCGAGUGCACAGAGGCAAAAGACCAACAAAAUAAGUCCUGGGGAAUGCUAUGAAGAUACCCCACCUACACCAACAUCAUAAGCUUCAAACAGGCAAAAGCCAAAGCACGAUUUAUUCAUAGGCAGGCGGAAAAGGAUUCGUGGCAAAAAUAUAUAUCAUCAUUUAAUAGUUCGGUCACACCAAAAUGUAUCUGGGACCAGAUGAGGAAGUUUAGAGGAGAAGACUCAUCGUACAUAAUGCCACUUCUUACAAGUCCAGACACAAACAGCACUACAAGACCAGGCCAACCUAUUAGGCGAACACUUUUACGAGGUAUCAUCUUCAGGGAAUUACACGAACGCUUUCCUCAAAUACAAAGAAUCGUCUGAAAGACACAGACUGCCGACACAGACUGGGGGCGUGAAACUGGUGCGGAUAUGACUGCACCGCUUACGCUUACGCUGUUCUUUCUGCAGGUACUACUCCGAUCAACCACAAGCAAACCAGUUUUCGAACUACAGCCUGAUGACUUAUCAGCUCAGUUUUUGCCGGAUGGUGAACCUUUGUUCAACUGCUCGACAUGGGAAUCAAGCGACAUUGACCAAAACGAUGGAAAUCAACGAGUGUGCCUCGCAGCUGAAAUUGGCCGCUGCCGGUCAACCAACCGUGGACUGAUCGCACAGACGACUGCAGCCUACAAAUAGCACGGAUCUUCACUCGGAGCUUGGGGCAUGGAACCGGUGCAGAUAUGACUGCACCGCUUACGCUUACGCUGUUCUUUCUGCAGGCUGACCACCAAAACAGUGUGAAUCUGGGUCCUUAGGAGCUUGAAUGCCACCAGGUACCAAUGCUCUGCUCGUUGUGGACAAGUACUGCGACGAAGACAGCACCUGCCUUUGUGCAAUACUUCUGAAUGCUUCUUCAUUGUGACUAAUGCAAAACUGUUGUGCAAUUUAACCUUUGUUUACUUCACUCAAAUAAUAAAUUAACAAAUAACAAUUACAAGAGCAAGCCUGGAAGUAUUGAGACUUCAUAUUACUACUUUGACUAAAAAAUAAUGAAAAUAUAGUUUUUUAAUGCAGGAAGUUCUUGCUUUUGUUUAUUCCAAAACAAGCCAACUGCAUCUCUUAAAGGAGUGUUGACACCUAAAAUCGGACUGUAACUUGACAUGAAAAGGACUCCAGCAUAAGUUUUCAGUGCUUGCAAGGAAUGCCAUAAGGAAUCUUAACCAUUUGACACACUAUGUACACAAUUAUGUACACCACUUGAUUUUGCUAUUUGUAUCAA